This 253-nucleotide ribosomal RNA is filed under the name uncultured bacterium. RNAcentral describes it as "partial 16S ribosomal RNA". It matches the Rfam family "Bacterial small subunit ribosomal RNA", at positions 524 to 776 of the family's 1533-position model. The record is from RNAcentral.
UACGUAGGGUGCAAGCGUUGUCCGGAAUUAUUGGGCGUAAAGAGCUCGUAGGCGGUCUGUCGCGUCUGCUGUGAAAACCUGGGGCUUAACCCCGGGCCUGCAGUGGGUACGGGCAGACUAGAGUGCGGUAGGGGAGACUGGAAUUCCUGGUGUAGCGGUGAAAUGCGCAGAUAUCAGGAGGAACACCGGUGGCGAAGGCGGGUCUCUGGGCAACUACUGACGCUGAGGAGCGAAAGCGUGGGGAGCGAACAGG